Molecule: ribosomal RNA, 484 nt
Filed under: uncultured bacterium
Lineage: Bacteria
Description: partial 16S ribosomal RNA
Rfam family: Bacterial small subunit ribosomal RNA
Source: RNAcentral
GACGAACGCUGGCGGCGUGCUUAACACAUGCAAGUCGAACGAUGAAGCCGGAGCUUGCUCUGGUGAAUUAGUGGCGAACGGGUGAGUAACACGUGAGUAACCUGCCCUUGACUCUGGGAUAACUGCGGGAAACUGUAGCUAAUACCGGAUACGACCCUCGGAGGCAUCUCCUGGGGGUGGAAAGAAUUUCGGUCAAGGAUGGACUCGCGGCCUAUCAGCUAGUUGGUGAGGUAAAGGCUCACCAAGGCGACGACGGGUAGCCGGCCUGAGAGGGGGACCGGCCACACUGGGACUGAGACACAGCCCAGACUCCGACGGGCGGCAGCAGUGGGGAAUAUUGCACAAUGGGCGCAAGCCUGAUGCAGCAACGCCGCGUGAGGGAUGACGGCCAUCGGGUUGUAAACCUCUUUUAGCAGGGAAGAAGCGAAAGUGACGGUACCUGCAGAAAAAGCACCGGCUAACUACGUGCCAGCAGCCGCCGUAA